This 77-nucleotide ribosomal RNA is filed under the name Spirosoma fluviale. Lineage: Bacteria; Pseudomonadati; Bacteroidota; Cytophagia; Cytophagales; Cytophagaceae. The record is from RNAcentral.
AUUUCGAACAGAGCCGUUAAGCCCCGUACUGCCGAUGGUACUGCUGUCACAAGCGGGAGAGUAGGAAGAUGCCACCU